UCCCUCAUAUCUCAGUUGGUAAAGAAUCUGCCUGUGAUGCAGGAGACUCAGGUUCAAUCCCUGGGUCGGGGAG
This is a non-coding RNA of Bos taurus (domestic cattle), 73 nucleotides long. The record is from Rfam. NCBI's taxonomy places the organism in Eukaryota, Metazoa, Chordata, Mammalia, Artiodactyla, Bovidae.